UAACAGUAUAAAGUACGAAACAAUACAUCAACUCAAUAGCAAAGGAACAUAGUGAAAAUUAGAAUUAUAACAUAGUGGACAUAGUAAAAAUGUUUCUUACAUAUCAAAACUUUCUCACAACUCAAAAAAAUGAGUCAAGAAACACUAUCUCACAAUAAACUAGUACUCCUCUAAUAUACUAAGAUUGGCCUAAGUUAUGAUUAUCUAUAAUUAAGAGCCAAUACAUGUUCUUAACACAACUAUACAAAAGGGAAUUGUCAAUCUUUGGUUAAGGAUUCAUGUCAAGAAUCAAAAGGUGAAGAAUCCUUUGAGAACAUGAAGUCAGAACAGCUAGUUUCCACCAUUGACAAUGAAGAAGUAAAUCCAAGCAUAGAAGUUCCCAAAUUAAACUCCAAAAGAUUAUCCUCCAAUUGGUGACCCCCUAUAACAAUUGAUGCCUUUUGGUUAGCCCCUCCAUCCAAGAAUCCCAAACACAUCACUUCAUCACUCACUUUCACCAUUGAAUUACUCUCAUAAAUCCUCCACUUAACCAUCUCACUUUGCAACACAAGAUCAACACUUGGCACAUUUAGUCCCUCCUCUAGUUUUGUGCUAAAGCAAAGCCCAAAUGGUGCUAUAGGUUCUACUUUAGUCAAUCCCAUGGAAAAACCAAAUCUUUCAUAAGCUUCAACAAAUGUCUUGUAAAUUGAGGUCUUCAUAGUUGUAAAAGGGGAAAUGGUACUAAUUCUUGUCCCUCCUUGACCUUCCCCAUCCAUGGUAAGCAAAGUUGUGUUCAAAGAUAGUUUCUUUCCAUUAAUUUUGAGGGAUUUAACAUUUAUGUAAUACUCUUCUGAAACCCCAUUUCUAGAUGAAAUCAAAGGUGUAUAAAGCAUGGAUCUUGAAACAUCAUGGCUCAAAAGUGACAAAUAAGGACUUUCACCAGAAAUUAUAGCACCAUUUGAAGAAGACAAACAAAUAGCAAAUUUCCUUUGAAAACCAAAUGUAUCAGACAACUGAGAUGGCAAUGCAAUUCUUGAAUUUCCUAGCCCCAACAUACCUUUAGCACCUCUAGCAAGUCCUUGUAACAGAGUAGAUGAUGUACAAGAAAACAAGAACUGAUGAAUUGAAGCAACUGAGCCCGUUUUCAACUCAUCAAUAAACUCCACAGCAAACAUAUCCUCUGCUAAUUCCCCUGUUGCAGCUAAUCUUGUAAAGGGGUUUUCUGAUUUCAAACCACAGAUCUUGUUGUCAUUAGUACAACCAUUAGGCUUAGCCAUGGAACAUUUGAGUGAAUUACAAGGUACAAGUUUUUGACUUGAAGAAUCAGAAGUCAACCCACAAUCAGCCCAUAGAAAUGAACCUUCAAGAUCUACAACUAAUUUGAUGGGAGCACGAUGAGUAGCACCCAUGUAGAGUUGAGUAACAUAUUGAAAAGUAGAUGGAUCUUUGUUUACAGGGAGAAUAAUGGCUUUUGGUAAAAAGGGUCCAUGAGAAACACAGAAUGAAACCAAGAAAAAGAAAGGGAAGAGAGGAAGGAAUUGAACUAGUGAAGCCAUUUUUUGAGUUUCAAGAUUCAAGAAAGAGUGUUAAAGAGAAAAACCCUAUAAAAACAUGUGCAGUUUUG
RNAcentral lists this unclassified non-coding RNA (1603 nucleotides) under Hevea brasiliensis (rubber tree). Lineage: Eukaryota; Viridiplantae; Streptophyta; Magnoliopsida; Malpighiales; Euphorbiaceae. The record is from RNAcentral.